RNAcentral lists this non-coding RNA (218 nucleotides) under Sporosarcina psychrophila. Its description in RNAcentral is "T-box sequence". It matches the Rfam family "T-box leader". From Rfam's summary of the family: Uncharged tRNA acts as the effector for transcription antitermination of genes in the T-box leader family. T-boxes are found upstream of many aminoacyl-tRNA synthetase genes and some amino acid biosynthetic genes usually in Gram-positive bacteria. Lineage: Bacteria; Bacillati; Bacillota; Bacilli; Caryophanales; Caryophanaceae. The record is from RNAcentral.
GAACAGGCGUUGAAAGAGAAAGUACCUUCCAAAUCUGAGAAUAGCGAGCCGGGGGCGGUGGAAGCCCGGUCAACGGAUUGGAAAUGAAAAUCACUCUCGAGCUGGAUUGCGGAGUAAUUUACGUGAUCCCGGAAACACCCCGUUAUGGUGUCUGAGUGGUAGCAAAUUCGUUUGCUACAAGUAGGGUGGUAACGCGAGAAUAAUUCUUCGUCCCUUUU